This 445-nucleotide ribosomal RNA is filed under the name Bacillus sp. (in: firmicutes). RNAcentral's name for it is "bacterial SSU rRNA". It matches the Rfam family "Bacterial small subunit ribosomal RNA", at positions 145 to 576 of the family's 1533-position model. The record is from RNAcentral. Lineage: Bacteria; Bacillati; Bacillota; Bacilli; Caryophanales; Bacillaceae.
AACUUCGGGAAACCGAAGCUAAUACCGGAUAGGAUCUUCUCCUUCAUGGGAGAUGAUUGAAAGAUGGUUUCGGCUAUCACUUACAGAUGGGCCCGCGGUGCAUUAGCUAGUUGGUGAGGUAACGGCUCACCAAGGCAACGAUGCAUAGCCGACCUGAGAGGGUGAUCGGCCACACUGGGACUGAGACACGGCCCAGACUCCUACGGGAGGCAGCAGUAGGGAAUCUUCCGCAAUGGACGAAAGUCUGACGGAGCAACGCCGCGUGAGUGAUGAAGGCUUUCGGGUCGUAAAACUCUGUUGUUAGGGAAGAACAAGUACGAGAGUAACUGCUCGUACCUUGACGGUACCUAACCAGAAAGCCACGGCUAACUACGUGCCAGCAGCCGCGGUAAUACGUAGGUGGCAAGCGUUAUCCGGAAUUAUUGGGCGUAAAGCGCGCGCAGGC